Molecule: long non-coding RNA, 898 nt
Filed under: Amborella trichopoda
Lineage: Eukaryota; Viridiplantae; Streptophyta; Magnoliopsida; Amborellales; Amborellaceae
Description: long non-coding RNA (ATRI_LNC003909)
Source: RNAcentral
UAAAAUAUUGAUCCGGUAGGAAGUAGGUCUCCUCAGCGUUGACACUGCCUCCACAGGAAGGAAGCAAAGCACAAAGAGAAGAGCCGUUCGUUAAGUACAACCCACCCCUGUAUCAUACAGAGCAAAGCAUAGACAACAAAUUUCAGGCGAUUUAGAGAGAGAGAUGGAGCAGAGCAUGAAGGGAUUGGUAAUUGGCAUGGUGGGCGUGGCCAUAUCCUUCUUUGCCUACUCACAAACCGUCAUGUCCACCACCCAGUGCCUUACGAUAGGCUUGAUCGUUUUGAUGGCGGGUCUCUGCGUCAAAGAAGGUUUCCUGCCUUCCUAAUACCAUCCAUCUGAUUUCUUCUACGAUAGGCUUGAUCGUUUUGAUGGCGGGUCUCUGCGUCAAAGAAGGUUUCCUGCCUUCCUAAUACCAUCCAUCUGAUUUCUUCACUUUUUUUUUAUCUUUGAUGAAUGAAAGGAACGGGUCUGAGAAGUUGUGGGAUGGAUUUUGUCUGCAUGUAACCACUGUUUAAUUGUUUGAUGGUAUAUUGUUGUUUUAGUAGAUAUGUUGAUGAUAUAUUGUUGUUUUAGUAUUCACUCUAAAUGUGGAAUGCUACUUUGUAAUAAAAAUCCCCAUUUCUUGAUCCUAGUAAUCUCAUGAGCAUUAUAUGUGAUUGAUUGUGAAUUCAUUCCUAUCAUCUAUCUGUGUUUCUCUUACUGUUUGAGAUUUUGAAAUUCUCAACUAUUUUACUCUAGGGAGUGUUUUAGGGAUGUUCACAAGUGAAGGUAACUGUCAUAAGUUUAGAAAUUUGAUAAAGUGACUGGUUUGAAUCUGCGAUGUUGUUGACGAGUCUUGAUCGUUCGAUAUUUGGAUUGCAUUAAGCUUACUCUUCUUUUAAUAAUUCAGUGUGUAUGU